GCCGGGCGUGGUGGCGCGCGCCUGUAGUCCUAGCUACUCGGGAGGCUGAGGCUGGAGGAUCGCUUGAGCCCAGGAGUUCUGGGCUGCCGUGUGCUAUGCCGAUCGGGUGUCCGCACUAAGUUCGGCAUCAAUAUGGUGACCCCCUGGGAACGGGGGACCACCAGGUUGCCUAAGGAGGGGUGAACCGGCCCAGGUCGGAAACGGAGCAGGUCAAGAAUGAAGGCCAAGCCACAGGUUUUCCCUAUCCUUCUGCUGCUUGAUAUCUCUUGUUUUUCAGACUUCU
Molecule: unclassified non-coding RNA, 283 nt
Organism: Sarcophilus harrisii (Tasmanian devil)
Lineage: Eukaryota; Metazoa; Chordata; Mammalia; Dasyuromorphia; Dasyuridae
Rfam family: Metazoan signal recognition particle RNA
About the family: The signal recognition particle (SRP) is a universally conserved ribonucleoprotein.
Source: Ensembl